AGAGUUUGAUCCUGGCUCAGAUUGAACGCUGGCGGCAUGCCUUACACAUGCAAGUCGAACGGUAACGGGCCUUCGGGUGCCGAUGAGUGGCGAACGGGUGAGUAAUGCAUCGGAACGUACCUUUCAGUGGGGGAUAACGUAGCGAAAGUUACGCUAAUACCGCAUAUUCUGUGAGCAGGAAAGCAGGGGAUCGCAAGACCUUGCGCUGAUUGAGCGGCCGAUGUCAGAUUAGCUAGUUGGUGAGGUAAAGGCUCACCAAGGCGACGAUCUGUAGCGGGUCUGAGAGGAUGAUCCGCCACACUGGAACUGAGACACGGUCCAGACUCCUACGGGAGGCAGCAGUGGGGAAUUUUGGACAAUGGGGGCAACCCUGAUCCAGCCAUGCCGCGUGAGUGAAGAAGGCCUUCGGGUUGUAAAGCUCUUUCGGCCGGGAAGAAAUCGUAUGGGCUAAUACCCUGUGCGGAUGACGGUACCGGCAUAAGAAGCACCGGCUAACUACGUGCCAGCAGCCGCGGUAAUACGUAGGGUGCGAGCGUUAAUCGGAAUUACUGGGCGUAAAGCGUGCGCAGGCGGUUUUGUAAGACAGGCGUGAAAUCCCCCGGCUCAACCUGGGAACUGCGCUUGUGACUGCAAGGCUAGAGUAC
Molecule: ribosomal RNA, 644 nt
Filed under: uncultured bacterium
Lineage: Bacteria
Description: bacterial SSU rRNA
Rfam family: Bacterial small subunit ribosomal RNA
Source: RNAcentral